GAUGAACGCUGGCGGCGUGCCUAAUACAUGCAAGUCGAGCGAACAGACGAGGAGCUUGCUCCUCUGACGUUAGCGGCGGACGGGUGAGUAACACGUGGAUAACCUACCUAUAAGACUGGGAUAACUUCGGGAAACCGGAGCUAAUACCGGAUAAUAUAUUGAACCGCAUGGUUCAAUAGUGAAAGACGGUUUUGCUGUCACUUAUAGAUGGAUCCGCGCCGCAUUAGCUAGUUGGUAAGGUAACGGCUUACCAAGGCGACGAUGCGUAGCCGACCUGAGAGGGGGGACGGCCACGGUGGAAAUGAGACAGGGUCCAGACUCCUACGGGAGGCAGCAGUAGGGCAUCUUCCGCAAUGGGCGAAAGCCGGACGGAGGAAAGGCGAGUUGGUGAUGAAAGUCCUCGGAUCGUAAAACUUUGUUAUGAGGGAAGAAAAAAUGUGUAAGUAAAUAUACGCGUCUUGGCGGUACCUAAACAGAAAGCCACGGCUAACUUCGU
RNAcentral lists this ribosomal RNA (496 nucleotides) under uncultured bacterium. Its description in RNAcentral is "partial 16S ribosomal RNA". It matches the Rfam family "Bacterial small subunit ribosomal RNA", at positions 28 to 506 of the family's 1533-position model. The record is from RNAcentral.